GCCACUAUGGCACAAUGGUUUGAGUAUUAGACUUGGACUCUGUGAGAUCAAGGUUCAAAUCCCUGUUCAAGCA
Non-coding RNA from Phrynosoma platyrhinos (Desert horned lizard), 73 nucleotides. The record is from the annotation of a GenBank genome assembly. NCBI's taxonomy places the organism in Eukaryota, Metazoa, Chordata, Lepidosauria, Squamata, Phrynosomatidae.